RNAcentral lists this long non-coding RNA (1461 nucleotides) under Nothobranchius furzeri (turquoise killifish). RNAcentral's name for it is "lncRNA (ENSNFUG00015016063.1)". Lineage: Eukaryota; Metazoa; Chordata; Actinopteri; Cyprinodontiformes; Nothobranchiidae. The record is from RNAcentral.
AUGAGGCGUCGACAUCAUACGAGGCGUCGACAUCAGAUGAGGCGUCGACCCUUGGACAGGAAGAGGCGUCGACUUCAGAACACGAGGAGGGGUCGACUUCAGAACACGAGGAGGGGUCGACUUCAGAACACGAGGAGGCGUCGACUUCAGAACACGAGGAGGCGUCGACUUCAGAACACGAGGAGGCGUCGACUUCAGAACACAAGGAGGUGUCGACUUCAGAACACGAGGAGGUGUCGACUUCAGAACUGGAAGGGGCGUCGACCGCGGGACAGGACAGGGCGUCGACCACCAUCGACUUCUAGUCCAGGGCAGGGGCGUCGGCUUCUGGUCCGGGGACGUCGACUUCUGGUCCUUCGACUUCUGGACCAUCGACCUCUGGACCGCCGGCCUCUGGACCGGAACCGUCUGCUUCUGGUCCGGGGGCGUCGGCUUCUGGUCCUUCGACUUCUGGACCGUCGACCUCUGGACCGCCGACCUCUGGACCGGAGCCGGAACCAUUGGCUUCUGGUCUGGGGGAGUCGGCUUCUGGUCCAGGGGCUUCGACUUCUGGUCCUUCGAGUUCUGGGCCGUCGACCUCUGGACCACCGGCCUCUGGACUGGAGCCGGAACCGUCUGCUUCUGGUCCGGGGGUGUCGACUUCUAGUCCUUCGACUUCUGGACCGUCGACCUCUGGACCGCCGGCCUCUGGACCGGAACCGUCUGCUUCUGGACCGGUCCCGUCUGCUUCUGGGCCGGUCCCGUCUGCUUCUGGGCCGGUCCCGUCUGCUUCUGGGCCGGUCCCGUCUGCUUCUAGGCCGGUUCCGUCUGCUUCUAGGCCGGUACCGUCUGCUUCUGGGCUGGUUCUGUCUGCUUCUGGGCCGGUUCUGUCUGCUUCUGGGCCCGAACCGCCUGCUUCUGGGCCCGAAUCGUCUGUUUCUGGGCCCGAACCGUCCGCUUCAGGGCCGGAUCCGUCGACGUCUGGGGUGGAGGCGGAGCAGCUGCGGGAGGGGCUGCCUGGACAGGCUGCAUGUGAACCGGAGGUGCUGGGAACGGAGAGAGCAGGGAAGACAAAGUGUCCAGCUGAAGCUCCCGUGGCUGAGGGCCCAAUGGAGCUGGGCCAGCUUAGCCCGGAGACCGGCGAGCUCCGCUGGGUGUGAUGAGGAGGACAGAGCGUCCAGGCGGGCUUCCUGGGAGUUGAUAAGCUGGCGGAACCGGCCAAGCUCCGCCGAGAGACUGACAAGCUCGGUCAGCUGGGCUGCGGCCAACGCUCCUCCCCCUGUAGGUGACAGAGGCGCUGAUUCGGCAGGAGACGGGACUGCUGGUCUGGCCGGGGGCGUGUCCAAACUGCUGCGCCUGGCAGGGGCAGCGGCGAACUCACAGCUCCGUCCCGGGACACCGGAUCGCGGUGGAGUCCGGCGUCUUUCCCCACGCUGUGGACCAACUCUGGGGGAACAGACAGCCAGCCUCGUGCCCUCGUAG